GAUGAAGAACGUAGUGAAAUGCGAUAAGUAAUGUGAAUUGCAGAAUUCAGUGAAUCAUCGAAUCUUUGAACGCACAUUGCGCCCAUUAGUAUUCUAGUGGGCAUGCCUGUUCGAGCGUCAUUUCAACCCUUAAUCCUAGCUUAGUGUUGGGAAUCUGCUGUAUUGCAGUUCCUCAAAUACAACGGCGGAUCUGUAACAUCCUCUGAGCGUAGUAAAUUUUUAUCUCGCUUUUGUUAGGUGUUGCAGCUCUCAGCCGCUAAACCCCCCAAUUUUUGUGGUUGACCUCGGAUCAGGUAGGAAUACCCGCUGAACUUAAGCAUAUCAAUAAGCGGAGGA
Molecule: unclassified non-coding RNA, 336 nt
Filed under: soil metagenome
Description: partial contains 5.8S ribosomal RNA, internal transcribed spacer 2, and large subunit ribosomal RNA
Rfam family: 5.8S ribosomal RNA (bases 1-120)
Source: RNAcentral